ACAUCCUAUAUCCCACCUGAAUAAGCCACAAUUUUAAUGGAACAUUUUACUGCACUGGGGAAUCAUCUUGGAUUGUAUAAACCCCCUAUCCGUGGUUUCUCUGGGAUUACCCCUAAAAGCCUUGGAUAAUACAAACUCUGAGUGCUGUGUUAAAGUUCAACCCCAUUUGAUUAAUCCUGUUUGUGUCUUGAAAUAAUGAACCAUAGAAGAGGACCAAAGGCGAGGCCAUUUAACAUAACACGAAGGGUCUUACCAGACGAUAAAGCCCUCUUAUGAGGGUUCUAUUGCUAUUAGAAAAUGGAUACUUACAAAAAAAAAACAUUUACAGUUUUUCUGUUUGUUUUCUUUUGUGAUUUUAAGCAGCACUAUUUUUUGUUGCUAAUGAAUCCAAACGUCUUCCUCAUUGUUCUGUGAGUAAUGCUCACAGGGCUGCCAGAUUGGUGGGUUUCGAGCCAAAUUUGGCUUGUUUUUAAAACAUCUAGCAGGUAAAUAUUGUUUUUGGCGGUUUGGCUAUUUUUUGGCUAUUUUUUAUCAUGCAUGUUUUUUCCUUUUCCUUUCAAUUACAAUACAGUAUAUUAAGUAAUCGCCAGCGCAGGACUUCAAUCCCCACAAUUCCAUGCUGUGACUCAAUUACUUUUGGUAAUUACUUCCUAAAGUCCAACGCAGCUAAUAUGUACUAAACUACAAAUGUUGUGACUUAACAUGAUACAGAACAACUGUAUCUGCCAACAGUUCUGUACAAUUUUUCCCCCCUUGUGCCUGGUUUCAUCAGGUAACAAAUAACAGUGCUUGUGCUAUUAAUUUGACAAUUUGAAACAAACAAGGAA
Molecule: long non-coding RNA, 827 nt
Organism: Acipenser ruthenus (sterlet)
Lineage: Eukaryota; Metazoa; Chordata; Actinopteri; Acipenseriformes; Acipenseridae
Exons: 3
Source: RefSeq, a predicted model, not a curated record